RNAcentral lists this ribosomal RNA (253 nucleotides) under uncultured bacterium. Its description in RNAcentral is "partial 16S ribosomal RNA". It matches the Rfam family "Bacterial small subunit ribosomal RNA", at positions 524 to 776 of the family's 1533-position model. The record is from RNAcentral.
UACGUAGGUGGCAAUCGUUGUCCGGAUUUACUGGGCGUAAAGGAUGCGUAGGCGGAUAUUUAAGUGAGAUGUGAAAUACCCGGGCUCAACUUGGGUGCUGCAUUUCAAACUGGAUAUCUAGAGUGCAGGAGAGGAAAGUGGAAUUCCUAGUGUAGCGGUGAAAUGCGUAGAGAUUAGGAAGAACAUCAGUGGCGAAGGCGACUUUCUGGACUGUAACUGACGCUGAGGCAUGAAAGCGUGGGGAGAAAACAGG